CCUACGGGAGGCAGCAGUGAGGAAUAUUGGUCAAUGGGCGGAAGCCUGAACCAGCCAAGUAGCGUGCAGGAUGAUGGCCCUACGGGUUGUAAACUGCUUUUAUACGGGAAUAACGCGCCUUACGUGUAGGGCUUUGCAUGUACCGUAUGAAUAAGGACCGGCUAAUUCCGUGCCAGCGGCCGCGGUAAUACGGAAGGUCCGGGCGUUAUCCGGAUUUAUUGGGUUUAAAGGGAGCGUAGGCCGCAUGUCAAGCGUGCUGUGAAAUGUCCGGGCUCAACCCGGGCCUUGCAGCGCGGACUGGCGUGCUUGAGUCCGCAGAACGCAGGCGGAAUGCGUGGUGUAGCGGUGAAAUGCUUAGAUAUGACGAAGAACACCGAUUGCGAAGGCAGCUUGCUGCAGCGGAACUGACGCUGAUGCACGAAAGCGCGGGUAUCGAACAGGAUUAGAUACCCUGGUAGUC
RNAcentral lists this ribosomal RNA (460 nucleotides) under uncultured bacterium. Its description in RNAcentral is "partial 16S ribosomal RNA". It matches the Rfam family "Bacterial small subunit ribosomal RNA", at positions 338 to 795 of the family's 1533-position model. The record is from RNAcentral.